AUAGGUUUUGAUACUUGUUCUUUAUAGGAGCAUUAUAGGGCGACCGUGAGUAUUUGUCCAGUGUCGGUGUCCCGGAGCGAGACAUCUAACUUCUAACUGUAAGUCGCUUUUGGAUAAAAGCGCCAGCUAAAUGCAUGUAACAUGCUUGAAAGUUUCAACCUCAAGAGAGCAGUGCAGCAGAAACUUGCCAUAUAGGAUUUAGUGUCAACUAGAAAUAAGACCGUCACAAUGGCAAUGACCACCACGAGCGGAGUGCGAAGCAUCCCAGAUAGCAGUUGAUCCUAUCCGCCUCCUGUCGCACUCGGUUUGGUCAUGCCACCGGAUCCGCGCACCAUCAGACAGCGUUGUGACUGCGGUGGAUGCUCCAAGUUGUUGCCCUUCGACUUUUCAAACUGGUAUUUUCAAAACUGCAGCUCUUUGCGCCAGAAGUACGAGUUAGUUGGUGAUGGUGUAUAAGCUGAUGUUGCUACUGCACGUGUCCCCUCUGCCAGGGCUGGUCCAGCUAACUACCAGUUGUACAGAAGUGACAACACUGUUGAUCGCCAUCUCUACAAUUCAGGUAAGCACACAUUCUUUGGAAGGAAAUGUUUUCACAGCAACUUAAAGACACAUUUGAGAGGGAACCGUAUAACCUGUUUAACUUUAUAAUGACCAGAUUUGUAUUAAUUCAUUAAAAUACUAUCUUAAUAGCGUAGUGUUUGUUAGGAUCUGUGUGUUUCCUGUUUUAUGUUGAAGUCCCUGUCUCGUUUCCUGUUUCCCUGCUCUUCCCUCCCUGUGCUUGUCUGUUUCUUUCCUGAUUGUUUCCAGCCACGCCCUGAUUGUUUCCACCUGUGUCUCGUUCCCCUGUGUAUUUAAUCUGUGUCCUUCUGUUUGUCUGGUGUCAGAUCGUCUUUUUUCGUUCCCGUGUGGUGUUGUCUGUGUUCCUGUACUGAGAAUAAACUCAGUUUUUCGUGAAACUCCUGCUGCGUUUGGGUCCUCCACACCACGCAUCCGUAACAGUGUUUUUAUAAAAAUGACUUGACAUGCUAUAUAAGCACUACAAAUUAAUACAAUUGAGAACAAAUAGAUAUUGUAUAUUUCCUGAAAGAAAAGAUGCAUUUCAAACAUUGUUUGUAUUUUGGUUUGUUUUAGAUAAAAUGAACAGAAAGAAUGGGCCUGUCUCCAGCUCCACCAUUAGACGGAGGGUCCGUCAAGAUGUUUUGACUACAUCACUGUGAUUGAUGGGAAACUGAAUACAACUUUGACUGAUGUUCCACUUCAUAGAAUUGUUGACUAACAAAACGGUAGCAGUAAUGCCACAAAGCUAUACCAGCUUUGUGGCACUACUGCUACCGUUUUGGCCGAAUUAUCCGAGGGACGAAAGGGUGGACAAGGCUGUCAGAAGCGCCGAACAACCUGGACCAGACGGACAGACACGUGACGUCAGAGUAAUUAGAUCAUGCGGUAUUAUAUUAAUAUUGUAUUAAUUGGCCGUUUUAAACGGAUAUAAAAAAUCACUUUGUUAUAUAUGUUGGGGGAAACAACAUUUUAAUCACAUUGUUCUGUUUAUAAUUCUGUACUUUUUCAUUGUGUUUAUGUGACUUAAUUUUUAGAUCAUUACUUGGUGGAAAUAUAUGUCUUGCGACACAUCAGAUCUCCAGUCAGAAGAGGAGGCAAUUCCUAAAAAGAGGAAGCCAAUGCCGGUCCAUUUCUAUGGAGACUCGGAUGGAGACAGUGAAAAUGAAAAUUCCCCCCACAAAACAGGGGUCCAACCACUAGCGGGACAGUUGUCCCUCCAAUCAUUGCCUCCUCCUAACUAUUCCAUGUACUCCAUCACCAGCAGGACAGCGAACACGCCAGGGGGACACGCCCACCUGGCGAGGGGCGUGGUGUGGUUCAGACACCAUUGCCUGCUGUGCUGUUCCAGUUCAAAUCCUAGGCAUGCUGGAGACAAUUACAGAGGUGAGAGACCCGUUUCCGUGUACCACAAUGGAGGAAGUGGACCUUUUUGAGCAACGGCUCAAAGAUCCCGUCAACAUUCUAAUGAGUGGUGAGUUUUUUUGUUUUAAGAAUCUCACGCAAAGCUGAUUAAAAUCUAUUGUAUGUAAUUAACACUAGACAAUACCAUGUUUGAUGGAAAUGUUUUUUCAAACAUUCUGUAAAGUAUCAAAUAUUAAUCGUACUUUUUCGAUCCAUUUUCGAUUUCCUCCCUGGCAACGAUCGGACGACAUGAUGCCAAACGUGGAACAUCCCCGAAUGAAUGGGAAAAAAUUAUUCAGUCAAAUGACAUCUAAGACUUUGCUCCUGCAUGCCGUCAGAAAGAAUCAUGCCACACAUGCAUCCACUGAUGAACAGAUUCUAAAGCAUGCCAUUAGGUGGUUCAACCUGGCAGCAA
Molecule: long non-coding RNA, 2374 nt
Organism: Pseudoliparis swirei
Lineage: Eukaryota; Metazoa; Chordata; Actinopteri; Perciformes; Liparidae
Exons: 7
Source: RefSeq, a predicted model, not a curated record